This is a small nuclear RNA of Manis pentadactyla (Chinese pangolin), 164 nucleotides long. RefSeq annotates it as U1 spliceosomal RNA. The transcript has a single exon. The record is from RefSeq and is a predicted model, not a curated record. NCBI's taxonomy places the organism in Eukaryota, Metazoa, Chordata, Mammalia, Pholidota, Manidae.
AUAUUCACCUGGCAGGGGAGAUACCAUGAUCACAAAGGUGGUUUUCUCAGGGCAAGGCUUAUCCAUUACACUCCAGAUGUGAUAACCUCUGCAGUUUUCCCAAAUGUGGAAAACUUGACUGCAUAAUUUUUGGUAAUGGGAGACUGUGUUAGUGUUUUCCCCUA